CCUAGGGGCACGCUUUGCUUACGUGGACAUAAAGCGUGUUGACGAGGACGCGCUUUGCUGCCACGUAGGCAAAGCGCGCCCCAGGGG
This is a microRNA precursor of Gossypium raimondii (Peruvian cotton), 87 nucleotides long. It matches the Rfam family "MIR7486 microRNA precursor family". Lineage: Eukaryota; Viridiplantae; Streptophyta; Magnoliopsida; Malvales; Malvaceae. The record is from Rfam.